This 253-nucleotide ribosomal RNA is filed under the name uncultured bacterium. RNAcentral's name for it is "partial 16S ribosomal RNA". It matches the Rfam family "Bacterial small subunit ribosomal RNA", at positions 524 to 776 of the family's 1533-position model. The record is from RNAcentral.
UACGUAGGGUGCGAGCGUUAAUCGGAAUUACUGGGCGUAAAGCGUGCGCAGGCGGUUUUGUAAGCCAGAUGUGAAAUCCCCGGGCUUAACCUGGGAAUGGCAUUUGGGACUGCAAGGCUCGAGUGCGGCAGAGGAGACUGGAAUUCCUGGUGUAGCAGUGAAAUGCGUAGAGAUGUGGAGGAACACCGAUGGCGAAGGCAGCCCCCUGGGGUAACACUGACGCUCAUGCACGAAAGCGUGGGGAGCAAACAGG